AGUGAACGCUGGCGGUAGGCCUAACACAUGCAAGUCGAACGGCAGCACAGUAAGAGCUUGCUCUUACGGGUGGCGAGUGGCGGACGGGUGAGGAAUACAUCGGAAUCUACUUUUUCGUGGGGGAUAACGUAGGGAAACUUACGCUAAUACCGCAUACGACCUACGGGUGAAAGCAGGGGAUCUUCGGACCUUGCGCGAUUGAAUGAGCCGAUGUCGGAUUAGCUAGUUGGCGGGGUAAAGGCCCACCAAGGCGACGAUCCGUAGCUGGUCUGAGAGGAUGAUCAGCCAAACUGGAACUGAGACACGGUCCAGACUACUACGGGAGGCAGCAGUGGGGAAUAUUGGACAAUGGGCGCAAGCCUGAUCCAGCCAUACCGCGUGGGUGAAGAAGGCCUUCGGGUUGUAAAGACCUUUUGUUGGGAAAGAAAAGCAGCAGGUUAAUACCCCGCUGUUCUGACGGUACCCAAAGAAUAAGCACCGGCUAACUUCGUGC
Molecule: ribosomal RNA, 493 nt
Filed under: uncultured bacterium
Lineage: Bacteria
Description: partial 16S ribosomal RNA
Rfam family: Bacterial small subunit ribosomal RNA
Source: RNAcentral